RNAcentral lists this ribosomal RNA (253 nucleotides) under uncultured prokaryote. Its description in RNAcentral is "partial 16S ribosomal RNA". It matches the Rfam family "Bacterial small subunit ribosomal RNA", at positions 524 to 776 of the family's 1533-position model. The record is from RNAcentral.
UACGGAGGGUGCGAGCGUUGUCCGGAAUCACUGGGCGUAAAGGGCGCGUAGGCGGCCUAAGGAGUCGGGGGUGGAAGUCCGGGGCUCAACCCCGGAUCGGCCUUCGAGACUCUUAGGCUCGAGCACAGUAGAGGCGGGUGGAAUUCCGGGUGUAGCGGUGGAAUGCGUAGAGAUCCGGAAGAACACCGGUGGCGAAGGCGGCCCGCUGGGCUGUGGCUGACGCUGAGGCGCGACAGCGUGGGGAGCAAACAGG